GAUGAAGAACGCAGCGAAAUGCAAUACUUGGUGUGAAUUGCAGAAUCCCGUGAACCAUCGAGUUUUUGAACGCAAGUUGCGCCCGAAGCCGUUAGGCCGAGGACACGCCUGCCUGGGUGUCACACAUCGUUGCCCCAAUGCCAAUCGCCUCACUUUGUAGGUAUUUGCUUGGGGUGAAUGUUGGCCUCCCGUGAGCUUUGUCUCACGGUUGGUUGAAAAUCGAGUGCAUGGUGUCGGGUGUACCAUGAUGGAUGGUGGUUGAGUGAUGAUGCUCGGUGACCCACAUGCGUCCCUUGGAUGCUCCCUAAGGAGACCUCAGGUCAGGCGGGGCUACCCACUGAGUUUAAGCAUAUCAAUAAGCGGAGGA
This 367-nucleotide unclassified non-coding RNA is filed under the name soil metagenome. Its description in RNAcentral is "partial contains 5.8S ribosomal RNA, internal transcribed spacer 2, and large subunit ribosomal RNA". The stretch from base 1 to 122 matches the Rfam family "5.8S ribosomal RNA", at positions 35 to 154 of the family's 154-position model. The record is from RNAcentral.